AAAUAAAUAUUAUUUAUUUUAAUUUUUAUUAACUGAAUCAAAAAAUUAUAAAAUAAACAUUUUCAUGCUCUUAGAUAUAAGAUGCAAGUAAUAGUUAAAAGUUUCAAGUUGAAACUUUAAAAGUAAUGAAUUCUCGUUAUGAUAAGAAAAUAAGAGGAAAGCCGCAUUUCUUCAUAAUUUUCAUUAUAACGGAAGUAGUAAAACAUAGAAAUAAGGUGGCUGACUAUUCAGGACAAGAGACGUGGUGUGGAUCCCGAAGGCGACUAAAUUCUGAAGUAAUCAAGUGAUUCGAUCAUGUGGAUAACUAUUGGAUAUUAAUGUGUUUUGUGUUUUAUAUAAUUCGUGUUUGUCUACAAUCUGUAUACACAAACUGUCUUUGUCUUUGCUUGUUUUAGCAUACUGUUAAUUAGUCAAUUUUGUAGGGAUUUUUCUUUCUUUGUUUUCGGAGCUCGAGACCACCCAUUUCCAUUUGAAAAGCAACAUGCUCCUCCUUUUCCCGUUUUCCCUACUGAGUAUUAUUUUACACUACCUACUAUGUAGUGACUAUAAAUAUAUAACCACGAAUCUUCCCGAAUUUUCUUUUUUACUAAUUUAUUUGAAACAUCAUCGUUCUGAAUUUUGCUUCAUCAAGAGUGUUAUAAUAAUCCGCCGUGCGAUUAACUGAACAUGACCUCCUUUGCGUUGUACGUAUGCGCAUGCUAACCACUAAACACUCUUCUGUUCAUCAGGCUAACGGAAUUUCUUCUGUCAUAAAUUAUCAUAACGCCGGAAAACAAAAUUCAUAUAGAAUCAUGUUACCUUAAAUUAAAAACAUAAAUAUUUUGAGACUUGCGCGUAUCAUCGAACGUUGAAGGUGUGUGAGACCUACGGUCAUAUUUUGUAAAAGUAUUUCAAAGUUGUAAGGAAAAUAUAUCUAAAUGAAAUACGCAUACUAAGCCAAAUACAAAUUCAACGAAGGCUUUGUGAACUUGUAUAUUCCUUUAACAUGCAUUGCGCCUGCUUUUAAGGGGUUCCAAGCAAAUAUAUAUAUAUAUAGUUGACAUGAUUGUAGGUUUUAAAUAGUACAUGUUGUUAAAAAAGAAAAGAAAUAGUAGUCUACACUUUCAUUGUAGAAGAAUGGACACUUGGUAAAAAAAAAAAAGAAUAAAGGUUAUAGAGUGUGCCUUUUUUAUGUGUGUAAUGCGAAAGAACUAGGAAACGAACAGAAAUCAUAGGAAGGUAUAUAAUUAGGAAGAAAUAAAUAGUUCACAGAAGAAGAUAAGGAAAGUGUAUUCCGACAUUGAGUGACGGCUAUGCACGUGAGGUUCACGAGGCCUUCAAAAGGGGACGGCGAUAAAAUUCAACUUAGCUACUGUACUUUUGUUGCAGGUUAAAAAACAAUAAGAGCACAAUCAUCGAUAGUUUCUUUGUAAAGUACCUCAAGAUAAAUAUUAAUAAAGAACAGAAAAAUAUGAAAGAGAAUAUGAGAAACAUGAGAAUCGAUUGUCACAGAAGAAACGUUGGAGUUUUGGGAAGGUACCAUAUCUCCACUUACCACUUGAUUAUUGGUACAAUUUUUCUUAAAACAUUAAAAUUUAAUUACAAAACUAAAUAUGUUAAAAUAUUGUUAUAAUAACGUGUAGAAAUUUUGGUUGAGAAACUUAACCAUUAAUGUUGCUCUAAGAGAUAAUCGAAGUGCCAAAAAUAUUUCACGUAACUUCGUAUUUAAUUUUAUUUUUACCAAAAUACGACUUGAAGGGAGGAGAUUAAAGAUGUCAGUUGGACCGUAAAAUCUAAUUUAAACCAUGUAUAGAAGAUUUAUCUCGGUAUAUUUAUAACCAUGUCGUCUUUGAUAUUUUGAAUUAAGAUAUUCGGGUAAUGUAGGUUGAUUUUCUUCAUCCAAUUAUAAUAUGAAACGGAUAAAGUUAUGUUGGUUGUAUGCCCACCUCCCCCCAUAGCUAUUCUCACAAUUGGAGGGAGACACAUCAUACAACUCACAUAUGUUAAAGUUCUUUUCCAGACGUAUAAAUGUGAUUUUAUAAAUGGUGUCCGCUGUCGGGCCAUCAUAUUGUCUCUUAUACAAGUUUAUUACGUCACAUUCUAUAAUUUGAUUCGCUUAAUCUAGAUAUAUAUGCACACGUAUAUCUCAACUCGAACGUGUUUGUAGAUAAAACUUAGAUAGUUUCGUGAAGAACGGUAUUUGUUAAUGUGGAAGCACAUGCAUGUAAUAAUAAUAUGGUAUGGAUUACACGUACGAUCAAGAUCAGAUAAGAGGUGUACAUAACCGGUUAUGUUGCAAGUUUUCCGGUUAUGUUUACAUAAACGAGAUUGAAGUAGUUGUUUACUUGUUUUAUUUACACAAACAAAUAGUUAUCCUACUAUUAAUGUAAGUAAGUACUUAUUAAAAGAAUACUAAUGACGAAGGAAGGAAUGAAAGUGGCUGACAAAGACGAGUUCCACGCAAGUGAAAGGAGUGAUGUAAAUUUAAGAGGCCACAUGGGCAUGCUUACUAAUUUUGUUACGUGUCGUCUCCCUAAUACUCCUUUUUCCUUGGACCACACUUCUACUUCUGCCACGUGUCCUCUCACGUUCCCUCUUUCUCCGGGCCUCUCCUUUCUACAGAUUCCUCCUCCAUCUUUGUUUGACUUCUACCGAUUGCAUUUUGUUUUUUUUUUUCAACAUUAAAGUGAGUUUGGUUAUUGAUUACUGAUUAGUACCCCAAUAUUGAAUCUUGUUUUUUUAUUAUAUUAUACCAUCCUCUUAUAGUAUAAAAUAACUGAAUUUUACACAUGUACAAUGUAUAGAAUACAAAUGAAUGAAUGAGAAUGUUUAGGAGGAAUAACGUAAAUAUAUACUUUUUGUUACCUUUUCAAAAUAUCUAAUUAAUAAAUUAAACUAAUUAUAAAAAAUAAAUAUUAUUUAAUUGAUUACACAACAUCCAAUAAAUAAAAAACUACAGUGAAAUAUGAAAAUUAUGUAUAUUCUGAAACAAUUUGUUUUUGUUUAAAACUAUUUAUAUAUGAACACAUGAAGUAUCUUUUUUUUUUCCUUUUGUUUUGAAAGUUUUUUUGGGGGAAAUCGAUCCAUGCCAGAUCCAAAAUAUUAUAAAAAGAACGUAUGGUUGGUGAAAUUGCUCUAUUGAUAUUAUAUCGUUUGACUUCAGAAGUUUCCUUUCGUAUAUAACGAACUUUUUAAAAACCCCAAAAACUCUACGUCUCUACACGGUAUGGAAAUACCUUCAAAGUUGAGGCUACAAAAUACCAGUCCAUGUUUAUUUAUGUUUGAUAUAACUAAGUUGAUCGUUAGUCGCAUUUACAACAUUAUCACACAAAAGCUAAAGUCGAAUCUAUAUAUUAAAAACAUAAUAAAAUCACCCCAAAAGGCAGAGCUACAUGCACCACCUUGAAUUUGUACUCUGUUGUCUUAGCCAUUAAGCGAUAUAUGUGGUUUUGAUAGACUUUAUGUGGGUGGAUAUGUAGGUAAAGUAAUUUAGUUUAGUGGCAUAUGUAAUGUUUAAAUUUUUUAUAUGGAUAAGAUUUGGAGUUCGCGUAGGUUUGUUUACUCUUCUCUUAAUAUGGGAUUAUCUAAGUUCAAAAAAAAAAAAAAGGGAUUAUAUACAAGUUGUAAUAAAUGUGAGAUAGGCAUUCAAACCCAAGCAACAAUGUCAAACUCUAGUUUGAAAGUACCGAUAAAAAUCAUACAGUCGUUAACUAGGGUUUGUUUUUUAUAUUCAUAGAGGUGUAUAUUUACAUUCAUAGGAGGAAAAGGAGAGAAAAUACUUCUUAUUGAUCAAUAGGAAAGAAGAUGCGCAUAUGGCACGGGAUAGAUUCCUUUUAUCAUAUGCUUUUGAGUUAGGACUUCCGAUUAAUUUGUCCUUUUUAGUUAUAUAAUAAUGUAUGUUUAAAUAAACUAAUCGGACUUAAUCAUCAGUAAAGCUAAAUGAUUAAAAUAAUUAAAUGUCAUGUUUAUCCCAACAUUUGCCUUCCUUGUUUCCCGUACUUCCAACUCUCUCAUCAGUUUUGCGUAACAGAUAGAUAAGUGGGUAGAAAUAUUCCAUACGUUUUUGCUUUCUUUUAAUUAAUCAAAAGCUUAUCAAUCAGCAAAUUCGUACUAUAACUAUCCUAUUAUAUUAUGGUUGUGCUGGCGACUGAUUACCGUUAAUAAACUUAUGCAGUAAGAGUAUUUUAAUGCAAGUGCUACAAGGAUGGACAACUUAACCUAAUAUCCAAAACCAUGAUAUACAAGAUUCGAUCUGUAGUUUUUCAUACAUUAUCUUUUUUUUUAGAUCUAGAUUAAUUCACAUCUGACCAUUUUACCAGCAAAUACUAAAAGCAAUCUGAUGGUUCAGCAAACUUUAAAAAUGCGAAUGUCACAACUCACAACCUUAAACCUCCUUAAUGGCUAAAAUUGACAAGUGGUUGCCCCUAAGUUACGCCACGAUUUAGAGAAUUAAUUAUUCCCCAAUGUGAACUUAUUGGGAACCCAGGGAAUGCUAUAUUGAACUGACUCGGUUAAAUGUUUAAACAAUCGAAUAAAUAAUAACCGAGACUCAGUCAAAAACGUCAUAGUUAAGUAAUUUAUACAGACUAACUUAUAUUACAUAAAUCGGAUGUUUAAAAAGAUAAAUACAGACUAAAAGUCAGAUUGCACGCUAUUUAUAUUACAUAAAUCUCAGAGUUGAAUAUAAAUUACAGUCGUUGCGCUAUUAUUUUAUAGAUGUAAUCUUUACUAUUUGAGCAACUGCAAAAUGGGUUUUAUAGUAUUGAGUAUUUGAGUCUUGCAUAUAUAGACUAGAGAAUACAUUUAAUCAUAAUUAAACUAAUUACCCUUACAAAUUUGUGUGCUGGAAAAGUUUUUCUAUUACCGUAAAGAUUAAUUAAAGCUGCUAAGCAUCACCAAGGUGUUGUCUACUAUUAAGAAGUAGUAAGUCUUGCAUAAAAAAACAUUAGUAUAAAGAGACCCGUACUAAAAUGAAAGUGUGACAUGGAUCCCAUGGUCCAAUUGUAUAUAAACAACAUUAAUCCAAACUGUAUUCGCGUACAAAAUUACAGAACGUGGUACGUGGUGGAUCAGGUUAAAGAAGAUGUCUCUAGAUUUGUGGGAAUAAAAAGAAGCCGUCUUGAAUCCAACAACAGUGGAGUGGGCUUUACUUGAAUUCUGAGUGAUAUUACUGCUGUUUAAAUUGUUUUGCGAAAUAAUAACAACCCAAAAUAUUAGUUUAGCGCAUUUUAAAUGAUUGUGUGUUUGGCCCACUUUAAUUAAUGUAUCGAGAAAUUUGAAACGAAGCUGUUUAUGAGGGUUAACGCCUCGUGUUAGUAGCUACGUUCGUCGUCGGGUCACACCUAGGAAGCAAAUAUGAUGAAGCUCUCGCUGAUCUCCUUACUCCUUGGGUUGUGGUUCUUCUCGACGAUCUGUCACUCAAAUCCUCUCGCUCGCGCUUCAACGAUACGGCCAGUACUUGUACGAUGGGCUCAUCAUCUGAUUCUGACUGAGCCCCUACACCUACCUGAUCGCUACUUUGCUUGUGGAGGAUCAUUGGAUUCGAAAUCCAUAGCUGAUUUCGUGACGUGGGAUUGCCACAGAGUGUGGGGUUGAUUUCGAUGAGGUUCGUCCGUCUCUCUCUCUCUGAUGUUGACGGCGACCACACCUUGAUUUAGUUAAAUCCGAUCCCCAUUAAUUUUAGGAAAAUCCAACAACAUUCAGGUUAAUCUCCCUGCAAACUUCUUUCAGCCUGCUAACCCAACUUCCAAGUUGUCCACUCCUCCCCACCUCACUGCGGAGAUACUGGAGUGGUCAGGGAAGAGCUGGGAACCGUAUGUAGCGGAUGAUGUGCAGGUUCAGUUUGAGCCCAUAUGUCCUGAAAACCUUGUCAACAGACAAGAAGGGUCUGUUUCAUACAUCUUUCAAGGUUCCUGAUGUGUAUGGUGUACUCCAGUUUAAGGUUGAAUAUAAAAAGCUCGGCUACACUAAAUUCUCUCUUUCAAAGCAGAUUCCUGUGAAGCUUUACAGACAUAAUGAGUAUCAGAGAUUUAUCCCAACUGCCUAUCCUUAUUAUGGAGCCUGCCAUACUUCUCUCUUUUUUUUCUUUCACACAUACACAGCUGCUAAAGGAGCUUAUCUUUUGUGUGUUUUCAAUGCAGAUGGCUGGUUUCCUUGUCUUCAGCUUCGUCUAUCUCUACCAUAAGUAGAAAAUGCAUUGAAUUUGGUUCUCCAGUCUCAUAAAGUAAGCCAGACCUCUUCAUACUUAGACGAGAGAAAUGUAUCAUUUGAAUUUUGAGUCCCCUCUUAUUUCGCGAACAAGCUUUAGUCAAACACUUUCAACCUUUGUUUUGUUCUCCGCGUAUUUUAUGUUAGCGGGUAAUUUUACAACCUUUCUCUGCUCUCUUUUCCCCUUGGUAAAAAAUAUAAGUAUGACCGAGGCACGUCACUCACUGUAAUCCACAUACUUUUUCAUAAAUAUCAUAUUUUUAACUACUGUUAAAUUUAUCACCGAUUUAGAAAGCUAGACCGGUGAUAUAGAGAACAUAAAAAUACAAAUUUCAAACAAAAUAAAAGGAAGCGUCAAACAGCUCGUACAAUUCAACAAGUACAAUUUAUAAAUUUAUGAAUAAUAAAUACUAUACAGUAAUAAUUAUAAAGAAUAUAGUUUUAUAAACA
Molecule: long non-coding RNA, 6636 nt
Organism: Brassica napus (rape)
Lineage: Eukaryota; Viridiplantae; Streptophyta; Magnoliopsida; Brassicales; Brassicaceae
Exons: 3
Source: RefSeq, a predicted model, not a curated record